RNAcentral lists this ribosomal RNA (2399 nucleotides) under Escherichia coli. Its description in RNAcentral is "partial 23S ribosomal RNA". It matches the Rfam family "Bacterial large subunit ribosomal RNA", at positions 418 to 2802 of the family's 2925-position model. Lineage: Bacteria; Pseudomonadati; Pseudomonadota; Gammaproteobacteria; Enterobacterales; Enterobacteriaceae. The record is from RNAcentral.
CGGGACACGUGGUAUCCUGUCUGAAUAUGGGGGGACCAUCCUCCAAGGCUAAAUACUCCUGACUGACCGAUAGUGAACCAGUACCGUGAGGGAAAGGCGAAAAGAACCCCGGCGAGGGGAGUGAAAAAGAACCUGAAACCGUGUACGUACAAGCAGUGGGAGCACGCUUAGGCGUGUGACUGCGUACCUUUUGUAUAAUGGGUCAGCGACUUAUAUUCUGUAGCAAGGUUAACCGAAUAGGGGAGCCGAAGGGAAACCGAGUCUUAACUGGGCGUUAAGUUGCAGGGUAUAGACCCGAAACCCGGUGAUCUAGCCAUGGGCAGGUUGAAGGUUGGGUAACACUAACUGGAGGACCGAACCGACUAAUGUUGAAAAAUUAGCGGAUGACUUGUGGCUGGGGGUGAAAGGCCAAUCAAACCGGGAGAUAGCUGGUUCUCCCCGAAAGCUAUUUAGGUAGCGCCUCGUGAAUUCAUCUCCGGGGGUAGAGCACUGUUUCGGCAAGGGGGUCAUCCCGACUUACCAACCCGAUGCAAACUGCGAAUACCGGAGAAUGUUAUCACGGGAGACACACGGCGGGUGCUAACGUCCGUCGUGAAGAGGGAAACAACCCAGACCGCCAGCUAAGGUCCCAAAGUCAUGGUUAAGUGGGAAACGAUGUGGGAAGGCCCAGACAGCCAGGAUGUUGGCUUAGAAGCAGCCAUCAUUUAAAGAAAGCGUAAUAGCUCACUGGUCGAGUCGGCCUGCGCGGAAGAUGUAACGGGGCUAAACCAUGCACCGAAGCUGCGGCAGCGACGCUGAUGCGUUGUUGGGUAGGGGAGCGUUCUGUAAGCCUGUGAAGGUGUGCUGUGAGGCAUGCUGGAGGUAUCAGAAGUGCGAAUGCUGACAUAAGUAACGAUAAAGCGGGUGAAAAGCCCGCUCGCCGGAAGACCAAGGGUUCCUGUCCAACGUUAAUCGGGGCAGGGUGAGUCGACCCCUAAGGCGAGGCCGAAAGGCGUAGUCGAUGGGAAACAGGUUAAUAUUCCUGUACUUGGUGUUACUGCGAAGGGGGGACGGAGAAGGCUAUGUUGGCCGGGCGACGGUUGUCCCGGUUUAAGCGUGUAGGCUGGUUUUCCAGGCAAAUCCGGAAAAUCAAGGCUGAGGCGUGAUGACGAGGCACUACGGUGCUGAAGCAACAAAUGCCCUGCUUCCAGGAAAAGCCUCUAAGCAUCAGGUAACAUCAAAUCGUACCCCAAACCGACACAGGUGGUCAGGUAGAGAAUACCAAGGCGCUUGAGAGAACUCGGGUGAAGGAACUAGGCAAAAUGGUGCCGUAACUUCGGGAGAAGGCACGCUGAUAUGUAGGUGAAGCGACUUGCUCGUGGAGCUGAAAUCAGUCGAAGAUACCAGCUGGCUGCAACUGUUUAUUAAAAACACAGCACUGUGCAAACACGAAAGUGGACGUAUACGGUGUGACGCCUGCCCGGUGCCGGAAGGUUAAUUGAUGGGGUCAGCGCAAGCGAAGCUCUUGAUCGAAGCCCCGGUAAACGGCGGCCGUAACUAUAACGGUCCUAAGGUAGCGAAAUUCCUUGUCGGGUAAGUUCCGACCUGCACGAAUGGCGUAAUGAUGGCCAGGCUGUCUCCACCCGAGACUCAGUGAAAUUGAACUCGCUGUGAAGAUGCAGUGUACCCGCGGCAAGACGGAAAGACCCCGUGAACCUUUACUAUAGCUUGACACUGAACAUUGAGCCUUGAUGUGUAGGAUAGGUGGGAGGCUUUGAAGUGUGGACGCCAGUCUGCAUGGAGCCGGCCUUGAAAUACCACCCUUUAAUGUUUGAUGUUCUAACGUUGACCCGUGAUCCGGGUUGCGGACAGUGUCUGGUGGGUAGUUUGACUGGGGCGGUCUCCUCCUAAAGAGUAACGGAGGAGCACGAAGGUUGGCUAAUCCUGGUCGGACAUCAGGAGGUUAGUGCAAUGGCAUAAGCCAGCUUGACUGCGAGCGUGACGGCGCGAGCAGGUGCGAAAGCAGGUCAUAGUGAUCCGGUGGUUCUGAAUGGAAGGGCCAUCGCUCAACGGAUAAAAGGUACUCCGGGGAUAACAGGCUGAUACCGCCCAAGAGUUCAUAUCGACGGCGGUGUUUGGCACCUCGAUGUCGGCUCAUCACAUCCUGGGGCUGAAGUAGGUCCCAAGGGUAUGGCUGUUCGCCAUUUAAAGUGGUACGCGAGCUGGGUUUAGAACGUCGUGAGACAGUUCGGUCCCUAUCUGCCGUGGGCGCUGGAGAACUGAGGGGGGCUGCUCCUAGUACGAGAGGACCGGAGUGGACGCAUCACUGGUGUUCGGGUUGUCAUGCCAAUGGCACUGCCCGGUAGCUAAAUGCGGAAGAGAUAAGUGCUGAAAGCAUCUAAGCACGAAACUUGCCCCGA